CCUACGGGAGGCAGCAGUAGGGAAUCUUCCACAAUGGACGAAAGUCUGAUGGAGCAACGCCGCGUGAGCGAUGAAGGCCUUCGGGUCGUAAAGCUCUGUUGUUAGGGAAGAACAAGUACCGGAGUAACUACCGGUACCUUGACGGUACCUAACCAGAAAGCCACGGCUAACUACGUGCCAGCAGCCGCGGUAAUACGUAGGUGGCAAGCGUUGUCCGGAAUUAUUGGGCGUAAAGCGCGCGCAGGCGGUCCUUUAAGUCUGAUGUGAAAGCCCACGGCUCAACCGUGGAGGGUCAUUGGAAACUGGGGGACUUGAGUACAGAAGAGGAAAGCGGAAUUCCACGUGUAGCGGUGAAAUGCGUAGAGAUGUGGAGGAACACCAGUGGCGAAGGCGGCUUUCUGGUCUGUAACUGACGCUGAGGCGCGAAAGCGUGGGGAGCAAACAGGAUUAGAUACCCUGGUAGUCCACGCCGUAAACGAUGAGUGCUAAGUGUUAGGGGGUUUCCGCCCCUUAGUGCUGCAGCUAACGCAUUAAGCACUCCGCCUGGGGAGUACGGCCGCAAGGCUGAAACUCAAAGGAAUUGACGG
RNAcentral lists this ribosomal RNA (587 nucleotides) under uncultured bacterium. RNAcentral describes it as "bacterial SSU rRNA". It matches the Rfam family "Bacterial small subunit ribosomal RNA", at positions 338 to 916 of the family's 1533-position model. The record is from RNAcentral.